CGUAGGGGGCAAGCGUUGUCCGGAUUUAUUGGGCGUAAAGCGCGUGUAGGCGGCCAGCUAGGUCCGCUGUGAAAACUCGAGGCUUAACCUCGAGAGGUCGGCGGAAACCAUCUGGCUAGAGUCCGGAAGAGGAGAGUGGAAUUCCCGGUGUAGCGGUGAAAUGCGCAGAUAUCGGGAAGAACACCCGUGGCGAAGGCGGCUCUCUGGGACGGUACUGACGCUGAGACGCGAAAGCGUGGGGAGCGAACAGGAUUAGAUACCCUGGUAGUCCACGCCGUAAACGAUGGGUGCUAGGUGUGGGGAGUGUCGACUCUCUCUGUGCCGAAGCUAACGCAUUAAGCACCCCGCCUGGGGAGUACGGCCGCAAGGCUA
This 372-nucleotide ribosomal RNA is filed under the name uncultured organism. RNAcentral describes it as "bacterial SSU rRNA". It matches the Rfam family "Bacterial small subunit ribosomal RNA", at positions 526 to 896 of the family's 1533-position model. The record is from RNAcentral.